Molecule: ribosomal RNA, 253 nt
Filed under: uncultured bacterium
Lineage: Bacteria
Description: partial 16S ribosomal RNA
Rfam family: Bacterial small subunit ribosomal RNA
Source: RNAcentral
UACAGAGGUCUCGAGCGUUAGGCGGAAUCACUGGGCUUAAAGCGUGUGUAGGUGGAUGGGUAAGUACCUUGUGAAAUCCCACAGCUUAACUGUGGAACUGCUGGGUAUACUGCCCGUCUUGAGUCACUCAGGGGCGAGCGGAACGGAUGGUGGAGCGGUGAAAUGCGUAGAUAUCAUCUGGAACGCCAAUGGUGAAGACAGCUCGCUGGGGGUGUACUGACACUGAGACACGAAAGCCAGGGGAGCGAACGGG